ACGGUCCUAAGGUAGCGAAAUUCCUUGUCGGGUAAGUUCCGACCUGCACGAAUGGCAUAAUGAUGGCCAGGCUGUCUCCACCCGAGACUCAGUGAAAUUGAAAUCGCCGUGAAGAUGCGGUGUACCCGCGGCUAGACGGAAAGACCCCGUGAACCUUUACUAUAGCUUGACACUGAACAUUGAAUUUUGAUGUGUAGGAUAGGUGGGAGACUUAGAAGUAGUCACGCCAGUGAUUAUGGAGUCGUCCUUGAAAUACCACCCUUUAACGUUUGAUGUUCUAACGAAGAUUACGAAACGUGGUCUCGGACAGUGUCUGGUGGGUAGUUUGACUGGGGCGGUCUCCUCCCAAAGAGUAACGGAGGAGCACGAAGGUUUGCUAAUGACGGUCGGACAUCGUCAGGUUAGUGCAAUGGUAUAAGCAAGCUUAACUGCGAGACAGACAAGUCGAGCAGGUACGAAAGUAGGUCAUAGUGAUCCGGUGGUUCUGAAUGGAAGGGCCAUCGCUCAACGGAUAAAAGGUACUCCGGGGAUAACAGGCUGAUACCGCCCAAGAGUUCAUAUCGACGGCGGUGUUUGGCACCUCGAUGUCGGCUCAUCACAUCCUGGGGCUGAAGUAGGUCCCAAGGGUAUGGCUGUUCGCCAUUUAAAGUGGUACGCGAGCUGGGUUUAGAACGUCGUGAGACAGUUCGGUCCCUAUCUGCCGUGGGCGUUGGAGAAUUGAUUGGGGCUGCUCCUAGUACGAGAGGACCGGAGUGGACGCACCACUGGUGUUCCGGUUGUGUCGCCAGACGCAUUGCCGGGUAGCUAAGUGCGGAAGAGAUAAGUGCUGAAAGCAUCUAAGCACGAAACUUGCCAAGAGAUGAGUUCUCCCAGAUUAUAAAUCUGUAAGGGUUGUUUAAGACUAAGACGUAGAUAGGUCUGGUGUGUAAGCGGUGCGAGCCGUUGAGCUAACAGAUACUAAUUGCCCGAGAGGCUUAACUAU
This 982-nucleotide ribosomal RNA is filed under the name human oral metagenome. RNAcentral describes it as "bacterial LSU rRNA". It matches the Rfam family "Bacterial large subunit ribosomal RNA", at positions 1945 to 2925 of the family's 2925-position model. The record is from RNAcentral.